GCUUAGUUGGUUAAAGUUCCAACUCUUGAUUUCAGCUCAGGUCAUGAUCUCAUGGUUUGUGGGAUCGAGUCCCACAUCAGGCU
This 83-nucleotide transfer RNA is filed under the name Felis catus (domestic cat). It matches the Rfam family "tRNA". Rfam says of the family: Transfer RNA (tRNA) molecules are approximately 80 nucleotides in length. Their secondary structure includes four short double-helical elements and three loops (D, anti-codon, and T loops). Further hydrogen bonds mediate the characteristic L-shaped molecular structure. tRNAs have two regions of fundamental functional importance: the anti-codon, which is responsible for specific mRNA codon recognition, and the 3' end, to which the tRNAs corresponding amino acid is attached (by aminoacyl-tRNA synthetases). tRNAs cope with the degeneracy of the genetic code in two manners: having more than one tRNA (with a specific anti-codon) for a particular amino acid; and 'wobble' base-pairing, i.e. permitting non-standard base-pairing at the 3rd anti-codon position. The record is from Rfam by way of RNAcentral. Lineage: Eukaryota; Metazoa; Chordata; Mammalia; Carnivora; Felidae. RNAcentral also lists the same sequence under 2 other names.